RNAcentral lists this ribosomal RNA (253 nucleotides) under uncultured bacterium. Its description in RNAcentral is "partial 16S ribosomal RNA". It matches the Rfam family "Bacterial small subunit ribosomal RNA", at positions 524 to 776 of the family's 1533-position model. The record is from RNAcentral.
UACAGAGGUCUCGAGCGUUGUUCGGAUUCAUUGGGCGUAAAGGGCGCGUAGGCGGCGGGGUAAGUCUGGUGUGAAAUCUCGGGGCUCAACCCCGAAACUGCACUUGAUACUGCGAUGCUCGAGUACUGGAGAGGAGAUUGGAAUUUACGGUGUAGCAGUGAAAUGCGUAGAUAUCGUAAGGAAGACCAGUGGCGAAGGCGAAUCUCUGGACAGUUACUGACACUGAGGCACGAAGGCCAGGGGAGCAAACGGG